AUAAAUAGACAACGGGGAGAGCACCGAGAAAACAGGUUACGAAAGGUGGCUACUAAUUUCUGCAUUCAUUGGUCAUUCAAGUUGCAAGCACCGAUCCGAUUCACGCAAAAUCCCUACGGACAUCGAUGAGAGGAUUCUGGAGAUAGUGUUACUGAACUCAGGGAAUGGAGACCGGUCAUCUACAGAAAGUGCACAGACACUCUCUGGUUGCUCCUCUUCUUUCUUUUCUGGGCUGGUUUGAAGAAUACCUACACAUUUUGAAUACUGCAUAAGAGGAAGCCAAACUUUGUGAAC
RNAcentral lists this long non-coding RNA (294 nucleotides) under Aquila chrysaetos chrysaetos. Its description in RNAcentral is "lncRNA (ENSACCG00020000660.1)". Lineage: Eukaryota; Metazoa; Chordata; Aves; Accipitriformes; Accipitridae. The record is from RNAcentral.